AGUGCCUUGAGGGUUGAGAGUGAGCUGGGAUGGGAGAAGAGUUAUGGAAGGGUGUGGUGCUGGUCCCUGGCAGGGUUGAAGAAUGAGGGUGGAAUAUUCUGUCGGGGAACCUCAGAAGAGAAUCCCACACAGGACCUUGCAAGAAAGAAACCAGCGUUUUGGCUAGAGCUGUGGGAGUCACUUGAUAAUCAUCUGGUCCUGUGGCAGCCUUGGGAGAGGCCCCCUCUGAACUCUCAGGCCCAUAUUUCUUCUCCUUUAUGGUGAUCUCAGAAUGCUAUUAUUUGUGUCCUGCCAAUACUCCCAAAGGAUCUGAGGGUUGACUCCUUUCUAUCCUGUAUCCCCGGGACUCAACAGUUGACCUGAACCAGAGAAAGCACCAAAGAGCCAAUCAGUGGAGAUCAAGUGCUUUGGAUACAACUCAUCCUCUCCCUGAAUCCUUGAAGCACCUCUGCACUUGACUUUCCAGAAGGAAGCAGAAGCAGGUGGAAAUUCAGCGAAUUUACACACAGGAGGCUUGAGCACUGGCCUCUGGGGAAAAGACAAGUCCAGCUGACCUUGUUAAAGAAAGCCCUAGGGCUCUAGGCCACCUCUUUUUGUUUGCUCUCUGCUAGCCUCCUAGCUUUUUUGGCUCAGCAACGCCCAGGAUUCUGGGCAUAUUUGUUUCCAGCCUUCUAAAAAUAACCUGGGCCGCCUAGUGCCUCCCAGAUGUCUGAGCGCUGAGUCUGUGAUUUCCCGGCUGGUAAUGGGACAGCCCAGACAUGGGCAGCUGGGGUGGCUCAAGCAGCUAAAGCCACUUCCUCUGCCUCCCACCCAACGCCUACUAAGAGCUCAGCCCUACUUCUGAACCCUUGCAAAGCAAAGGAGGGCAGAGGCUUGGCUGCUUGAGUGAUAGGCCUCAGAGAUUGUUGACUCCACUCUCUGCUUGGGAAAACCAAGAUCCAAGGACUUUCCUAGAGCACUUGCACCAUUAAGAUCCUCCCAUCCACUCCCCAGCACUCAGUUCAUGCCUACUGCUGCCUCACUUCCCUCUUGCUGCCAGGAGUCCAGGUCUCUGAGCUCAGUCUGACUUUCCCCAUGACAGCUGUAAAUUCCUAACAAGAGUGAUGUCCCCAGGAGGUUUCCAAUGGUGCCUGGAAGUGUCCAAUCCAGAGCACACAUUAGCAAAUGUAGAUUGGAUUAAAUUAUGUAGUAGUAGCCAGGGCCAUGCAUGGAAUCAGGCUGGGGGACAGAGCUUUUGGAUUCUAGUUUAGGUGUAGGCAUUGUGACAUUGUGUGUCCCUAUCAAUUUCCCUGGAUGAGUCUGUUGAAUUGGAGCUGGAUGAGAUAGUAUCUUAGGACCUAGCCAGCUCUAUUGUCUUAAGGCUAUGAGUUGAUACCCUGUUGGGUAUUCCUGUCCCUUCCUCUGCUCCCCAGUGUGUGAGGAAGUUGGCACACCCUGCUGGUUCCACCCAGAUCUCAGCUUUUCCCUCUCUGCUUCCUAACUUUCUAAGGGCCUGGUUCCUGGCCCCUAGGCCCAGCUCCCCCAGUGGUGCUACCUCUGUCUCUGCCACUGGGUUCCCAGGGGUGAAUCAACCCAUCCCUUAUUGAACAUGCGACCUAGGGUAAUGCCCCUUUGCUGAACUUCAGUUUUAUCACCUCUAAAAUAGAGAUAAUAGGGCUGAGGACAGAGGUCAGAGGUAGGGUGCUUGCUUAAUACAUGCAUGGACUUGGAUUCAAUCCCUGCCUUAACCAAAAAAUUAUAAAGAUUAAAAAUAAAUAAAUGAAAAUAAAUGGAGACAAUAAGAUCUACCUUAGAGAAAUAAGGGCAAAGGGGAUCUCAUAUCUCAGGUUUCAGGUCAUAAAUCAUCUGCUGCAGAAAGUCUUCUCUGACCUCCCAGGAUGGCAGCUAUUGUGCCUUUGAUGGCUCUUUAGUUCUGUCCUUCUCUCCUUCAUGCACACAUUACAUGGUCAUUGUCUAUGUAUCCAUCCUCUACCAGAUUGGUGUCUCCUCAAGGCCAUGAGCCUUACCCAAGGGGCCUUGCUCAAGGUUGCAUGUUUAAUAAGGGAUGGGGUGAUUCAGGGCCCAAUACAGUAUCUUCACAAUAAAAUGCUCGAGAAAACUUGUCGAUGGACAAAGUGAGUGAAUAAAAUCUGGAGAAAGGCAAAAGGGUGUGCAGAAGUCAGUGAGUCUGAUUCAGGAGCAACCUGAUUAACAGGACGAGUUCUGGGCAUAAGAAUAUCAACUGCUGCUUGGAGCACUUCCCCAGUUUUUCUGCUUGGUGAAUUCAUCCCUCAAGAUCCCAGGCAGACAUCUCCUUCCCUGAGAAAUCCGGUCACUCCCUCUGAUGGCACAGUACACACUUCACUAUAGGAUUACUUCAUGUGUCUGUCUCCUUGCUCAGGUGCUGAGUUUCCUAGGGCAAGACCCUAUUGGAUCUCAAAGCACUAAGCACUGGAUCUGGUGUGAGUUCAACAAAUGCUUGGAGAGAAAGAAAUGAUGGAAGAUAUGAUUUCCGAAAGUUGAACUGCUUUUUUUCUUUUUUUUGCAGUAUUAGGCUUGCACCCAGAGGGCACUCACCCACUGAAUUAUAUCCCCAGUCCUUUAUAGUUUGUAUUUUGAGACAGGUCUAUGCUAAAUUGCUGAGGUUGGUCUGGAACUUUUGAUCCUCCUGCCUCAGUUUCCUGAGUUGCUGGGAUUAUAGUCAUGUGCCACCAUGCCCAGCUCUGAACGGCCUGAUUUUUAAUGUCUCUCCUAGCCUUGAGGAUGAUGAUAAAUUACCAAAGUAAGAGAAGCGGAGGGGUGAGCUGUAGUCCUUCCAGAGCACCCUUCAAGCAUGUGUGGGUUAAAUGCGAGCUAGUAAGAAGGACUGAUAAGGAGCAGUGAAAAUAUAUUCUUGGGGCUGGGGAUGUGGCUCAAGCAGUAGCGUGCUCACCUGGCAUGCGUGCGGCCCGAGUUCGAUCCUCAGCACCACAUACAAACAAAGAUGUUGUGUCC
This is a non-coding RNA of Ictidomys tridecemlineatus (thirteen-lined ground squirrel), 2973 nucleotides long. The record is from RefSeq and is a predicted model, not a curated record. Lineage: Eukaryota; Metazoa; Chordata; Mammalia; Rodentia; Sciuridae.